GACGAACGCUGGCGGCGUGCUUAACACAUGCAAGUCGAGCGGUAAGGCCCUUUCGGGGGUACGACGAGCGGCGAACGGGUGAGUAACACGUGGGUGACCUGCCUUUAGCUCUGGGAUAAGCCUGGGAAACUGGGUCUAAUACCGGAUAUGAUCCUAUGGCGCAUGUUGUGGGGUGGAAAGCCUUGUGCGGCUAGGGAUGGGCCCGCGGCCUAUCAGCUUGUUGGUGGGGUGAUGGCCUACCAAGGCGACGACGGGUAGCCGGCCUGAGAGGGCGACCGGCCACACUGGGACUGAGACACGGCCCAGACUCCUACGGGAGGCAGCAGUGGGGAAUCUUGCGCAAUGGGCGAAAGCCUGACGCAGCGACGCCGCGUGAGGGAUGACGGCC
RNAcentral lists this ribosomal RNA (388 nucleotides) under uncultured bacterium. RNAcentral's name for it is "bacterial SSU rRNA". It matches the Rfam family "Bacterial small subunit ribosomal RNA", at positions 28 to 416 of the family's 1533-position model. The record is from RNAcentral.